RNAcentral lists this ribosomal RNA (252 nucleotides) under uncultured bacterium. RNAcentral's name for it is "partial 16S ribosomal RNA". It matches the Rfam family "Bacterial small subunit ribosomal RNA", at positions 524 to 776 of the family's 1533-position model. The record is from RNAcentral.
UACGUAGGUCCCGAGCGUUGUACGGAUUUAUUGGGCGUAAAGCGAGCGCAGGUGGUUUAUUAAGUCUGGUGUAAAAGGCAGUGGCUCAACCAUUGUAUGCAUUGGAAACUGGUAGACUUGAGUGCAGGAGAGGAAAGUGGAAUUCCAUGUGUAGCGGUGAAAUGCGUAGAUAUAUGGAGGAACACCGGUGGCGAAAGCGGCUCUCUGGCCUGUAACUGACACUGAGGCUCGAAAGCGUGGGGAGCAAACAGG